This 502-nucleotide unclassified non-coding RNA is filed under the name Hevea brasiliensis (rubber tree). The record is from RNAcentral. Lineage: Eukaryota; Viridiplantae; Streptophyta; Magnoliopsida; Malpighiales; Euphorbiaceae.
AACAGAGAAAAAGAAGAAGAAGAAGGGAAUUCUCCAUCGCAAGAAAAUGCACCACGUCUCUGGUAACUCACCUCGCUGAAAUCUAGUCUGUAACCAUUCCAUCCUGGCAGCUCAUUCACUGCAAGACUCCUUGCCGGAAGAUUCAAGGAGAACGGAUUCAUCGCACUUAUUCUUCCUUGUCAUUUCGCUCUGUUCAACGCCAAAACGUUGAUUAGCAUCUCCUUUAUUUGGGGUAAUUUUUUCAAAACUUGCGUUAGUACACAAUUAACAUAUUUAUUGUAUUGAAUUUCACGAGUAAGUCAUUAUCUAUUUGAUUCGAGUGGGCUGCUUUUUUAUGGAUGUUUAAAGUUAAAGUUUUAUGUAAAUUCAUUGAUUUGAAUUGGUUGGGGAUAGAUGAUUCAAUUCUAUUAUUGCUUAAAGCUUGAUUGAAAACCAAUUUGCUUAUAGAGUAUUUCAAUCUAAAUUUGCAUAUGGUUCAUGGAUUUGGGUGGCGUGUGUUCAG